AAGUAGCUGUCACGUUUUACUCAUACAGCUUCUCUCCCUACGUUUUAUUCAGUGGAAAGCACAUGGAAAUUGAUCCCUUGAAUGUUGUUCCCUUUUUUGUGCUUACAGAUUCAAUAGUUCUUUUUAAUGUUUUUGGUAUACCAUCCGCUGUUUUCAUGCAAGCUCCAUCUUUCUUCUUCUAACUGAUCGGGCUAUGGCUGUCUAAAGUAGCGUGACUAGGUAACUCUGAAACUUAUAAACAAGAUGAUAAAAGGCUAACAGGAAAGAGGCUAAGAACGGAAACUCAGUUAUCGAGAAUUUGUGUUGUUAUAAGUUGUGUGGGAAACUGUAUAGAAAAUUUAGGUAGGGACUCUCUCUCAAAAUCUUUGUAUGUAUAAUAUUGUUAUUCGUUUGAUCUUUUAAUAUUUCUUUGAUUUGAGUUAU
This is a long non-coding RNA of Brassica rapa (field mustard), 423 nucleotides long. RefSeq lists it as uncharacterized. NCBI's taxonomy places the organism in Eukaryota, Viridiplantae, Streptophyta, Magnoliopsida, Brassicales, Brassicaceae. The record is from RefSeq and is a predicted model, not a curated record.